CAGCCGCCGCGGGAAUACAGAGGGUGCGAGCGUUAAUCGGAUUUACUGGGCGUAAAGCGUGCGUAGGCGGCUUUUUAAGUCGGAUGUGAAAUCCCUGAGCUUAACUUAGGAAUUGCAUUCGAUACUGGGAAGCUAGAGUAUGGGAGAGGAUGGUAGAAUUCCAGGUGUAGCGGUGAAAUGCGUAGAGAUCUGGAGGAAUACCGAUGGCGAAGGCAGCCAUCUGGCCUAAUACUGACGCUGAGGUACGAAAGCAUGGGGAGCAAACAGGAUUAGAUACCCCAGUAGUCCCUGUCUCUUAUAA
Molecule: ribosomal RNA, 301 nt
Filed under: uncultured bacterium
Lineage: Bacteria
Description: partial 16S ribosomal RNA
Rfam family: Bacterial small subunit ribosomal RNA
Source: RNAcentral